RNAcentral lists this ribosomal RNA (253 nucleotides) under uncultured bacterium. RNAcentral's name for it is "partial 16S ribosomal RNA". It matches the Rfam family "Bacterial small subunit ribosomal RNA", at positions 524 to 776 of the family's 1533-position model. The record is from RNAcentral.
UACGGGGGGGGCAAGCGUUGUUCGGAAUUACUGGGCGUAAAGGGCUCGUAGGCGGCCAACUAAGUCCGACGUGAAAUCCCCAGGCUUAACCUGGGAACUGCGUCGGAUACUGGAUGGCUUGAAUUCGGGAGAGGGAUGCAGAAUUCCAGGUGUAGCGGUGAAAUGCGUAGAUAUCUGGAGGAAUACCGGUGGCGAAGGCGGCAUCCUGGACCGACAUUGACGCUGAGGCGCGAAAGCUAGGGGAGCAAACGGG